AUUAAUAUACCCCAGUAAGUCUUUAUUAUAUCAGGAAAAAAAUGCAUUUUUAUCAUGUUGUGAGAGUAUAACUUUUCUUUUUUCUUGCAGUGCCUAUACACAUACAAAGUUUUCAGCUAAUUGAGGCACUAUACUUUCUUUGUUCCUCUUCUGAUCCUGUUAUCCAAAGUGACCAGUGGGUUCUUAGAAGUGUUGCUCAGUUUAUCCUAAAGCAAUCCCAGUAAGGAUUUCAUGUCAUCCUACUGAGAUAUAUGAAGGUAUAUAAAAAAACUAAACGUGCCUUUUCUUUGAAAUGGAUGGAAAAGAUGGCUUCUUUCCUUUUGUGAAUUUGCUGCACUUUAUAACAAAGACUGUUCCUAUGGAGCUAGUGGCAUGGAGUUCAUCAGGAGAUGGAAGUCAGGACCCUUGCCAAUUUUCCUAUUUGAACAAUUGCUUUCACCAUAAAUGAAGACAAGAGUGAGUAUAUUACAAUUUUUCAUUAAAAAUUUCUAAAGCUUGUAUUCAGAAAAGUCAAAAUAUUUCACUUUGGGUUGAGUCAGUUUUAAUACGAAUUUAUCUGAGCUACUCAGGAGUCCUUAGGAAGCUGUGCUUCAAGUGCUGAGUAUCUCUGUUCACUCCGGCUUCCUAGCUGGACAAUGUUUUAUGUAUUUUAGGUUGGGCCAUGAUUUUAGCGUAAUGCACAGCCUCAGGGGAGACCAUGUGCUGCCAUGGGUCAGGUAGUCCCACACCCCAGCCUGGUCCAUAUGAAACAUCCUUGGUGUCACUGUCUUGGAUUAAACAGUGAAAAGCAAAUGAGUGGAUUAGAUUUUCAGAGGAGGUAGAAAAAUUCUUUUCAGAACACAAUCCAAAUAUGGGAAAAAUGCUGUCUUGGGAGAGAAAAAACAAAAAGAGAUUGGACUAGUAUGUGAUUGAAACACAAGUGCAAAGCAGUAACUGAAGUUGUUGGAGAAAACUUCUACAUGUUCAGAAGAUCCACAACAUGCCUCUGCAGAGCCCAUCCCUGUUUUACAUGGGCUGGACCCCAAGGAUGAGGAUUUACCCUCUAGUCCCCACCUCUUUUAGCUGCUGAUUUGGAUUGUAUGAAUGGAAGCUUACUUUUGUGUGAAGCAACACUGGUGGUGCUUCAAGGCUGCAUUAUUCAGUGAGCCUGGUAUGUCAGUGGGAAAAUGAACCAGUUUCUGUAAACCAGGAAAAAUAAAGCACUUAGAAAAUCACUCUGUGAAAUCUGG
RNAcentral lists this long non-coding RNA (1229 nucleotides) under Cyanistes caeruleus (blue tit). RNAcentral's name for it is "lncRNA (ENSCCEG00000010849.1)". Lineage: Eukaryota; Metazoa; Chordata; Aves; Passeriformes; Paridae. The record is from RNAcentral.